UUUAUUUUNGUCGCAUUUAGAUUCAAGUUGGAUCUAAUUAUGUCUAUUUUUCUACUUGUUUUAUCUCGUUAGAUUUAAAUUAGAUCUACUUAGAUUUAAUCCAUUUUUUUCUGGGAUGUCAAAUAUUUUGUGUAUUCAGGGAGGAAUCGUUUACGCAGUGGAGUUUUCACGGAGAACGGGAAAAGAUCUAAUCGACGUAGCUAAGAAAGGACACAAUAUCAUUCCUACAGUUGAAGACGCGCAAAAUCUUUUCAAGUAUUGUAUGCUCGUAUGGUAGACACUGUCUUCGCGGACGUCGCACAGCUGGAUCAGACUCGUAUUGUUGUAUUCAACGCGCACUAUUAUUCUCAAAAACAGCGAACAUUUUCUUAUCCAUCAAGGCAAGUUGCGUAGAUUCAACGGCAAAAUUGGAAGCGAUAUUUGCGAAAAAAAAAAGCUAUUAAAAGCACAAGAUGGUUCGCUGGCAACAGUUUGCUCCGCUAUUCAGCAGAUACGCUAGUAGGAACUCAAAAUCGAAAGUAUCUAUAUCUCGUAUGAACUCAGAUAAUAAUAAGUUACUAAAAAGUCUACAAGAAGAAGUUGUAUCGUAUGAUAAAUUAUUAAAAACAAUAAAAUGUGCAAGAACCAGGAUACAAAUAAUAACUUCAUCAACGAUUGAAGAUAAUCUAUAUUUCCGAGUUUUCUACGUAGAAAAAUUCGCCGCCACUAUGCGAAUAAUUCUCCGAUUAAAUUUUAUUUUAGGAAAGGAAACUUCGUUAAAUAUUAAUUCGGUUUGCGAUCUAGAUAGGAUUGUAGAACUCGGUAGUAAAUAUUUAACGGAAAACGAGAAAAAAAAGUUGCAAGUGUUCCGAAAAAAAUUAAAAGAUGGUAAAAUUGAUACGGAUCAGCUCAAUACGGCAUUACACGUGAUACAAAAAUGGUGAAACGCGGCCGGCGGCACCCCCUAAAUUUAGAGUGAUAUCCACGAACAAGGAAUCUGUAACUCAGAAGUCCUGAAGAGGCAGGGAUGGUACGAGAUCUUUGGCAGGAAUGCUCGAUGGAUUGGGUCGAAAAAUAUAUCGUCACUCCCUACGUAUAAUUACAUAAGUGUCACAUAUGGGAUUUUCAGUUUAUUGCAUAGUGACACU
Pseudomyrmex gracilis is the source of this 1127-nucleotide long non-coding RNA. RefSeq lists it as uncharacterized. The transcript is spliced from 3 exons. Lineage: Eukaryota; Metazoa; Arthropoda; Insecta; Hymenoptera; Formicidae. The record is from RefSeq and is a predicted model, not a curated record.